ACGGGAGGCAGCAGUGGGGGAUAUUGCACAAUGGGGGAAACCCUGAUGCAGCGACGCCGCGUGAGCGAAGAAGUAUUUCGGUAUGUAAAGCUCUAUCAGCAGGGAAGAAAAUGACGGUACCUGACUAAGAAGCCCCGGCUAACUACGUGCCAGCAGCCGCGGUAAUACGUAGGGGGCAAGCGUUAUCCGGAUUUACUGGGUGUAAAGGGAGCGUAGACGGCGAGGCAAGUCUGAUGUGAAAGCUCGGGGCUCAACCCCGGAACUGCAUUGGAAACUGUUUUGCUAGAGUGUCGGAGAGGUAAGCGGAAUUCCUAGUGUAGCGGUGAAAUGCGUAGAUAUUAGGAGGAACACCAGUGGCGAAGGCGGCUUACUGGACUGUAACUGACGUUGAGGCUCGAAAGCGUGGGGAGCAAACAGGAUUAGAUACCCUGGUA
This 434-nucleotide ribosomal RNA is filed under the name uncultured Lachnospiraceae bacterium. RNAcentral's name for it is "bacterial SSU rRNA". It matches the Rfam family "Bacterial small subunit ribosomal RNA", at positions 341 to 792 of the family's 1533-position model. The record is from RNAcentral. Lineage: Bacteria; Bacillati; Bacillota; Clostridia; Lachnospirales; Lachnospiraceae.